GCUCUGUUGUUUAUCUGGGCAAAGAGAGACCUCUUGUGGUGAUUCCUAACCUAGCAUGUUGUUUACGUUUUACUUGAAGUCUCGAGUCAGUUCAAUGUCUCUCGGUGAAUUAAGUGGACUGAAAUUUUCUCUCUUGAUUUAAUUUGGUCAGAAAACACGUUUGCCUAUGCACCUAAGGACAUCAAGAAAAAGACAGUUUUCUGGAAGUGCCUGCAGUGAUUCAGACAUCUCGCACUACAGCGAUGUAGACUAUGUGCCCCAGAUCAGCUCAGAUGAAUCAGAUGACAGUGCUUCUGGACAGGACAUCGCAGAGAGCAGUACAGUUGGCAUUUGUAAGGCAGGUAGUUCAUCUGAAAAAUGCAUGACAUCACUCUCAUCAAAAAGGAUAAAAGGCCAAACUAAAGAUAAAGACGCCUCAUUUGACAAAUGGACAUUUGUUCAGGCAAUGCCAACACCGAAGAAGAACCGCAAAUCAUAUAGAAAAAACAGUGUUGCAUUUAUUGCUCUAAGCCAUAUUCAAAAUUGGCAGGACAUCUUGAGUUUGUCCAUCGCAAUCGCGAGGUGGAGGUUGCAAAGGCUGUAGCAUUUCCAAAACAUUCGAAACAACAGUGAAUCCAGUUAAAUCUUCUUCGAAAAAGGGGAAACUUUGCCCACAAUACAUCUGUGGUAAGAAAAGGUCAUGGGGAGAUGGUUGCCUGUUAACGUCCUAAAAAGAGCAAAAAUGCCAAAGAAUUUAUUCACUGUAUUUACUGUCAGGGGCUUAAGAAAAUUCUUUCUGUGAUGAACUAUGAUGAAGUUUCACGCACUAUUCACAGUGACACAAGCAUCAUGCAGCUGGGAGAGCACAUGUUCAACAGGAUGGGAUCUGAUGUGACCAAACAUGACUACAUCAGACAGAAGAUCAGAGAGGUUGGUAGACUUCUUCUUGAAGCAAGAAAGACUACGCCAAAGAGAACCAUGGUGCACUUCAUAAUACCAGCAAACUUUAAACAUGUGAUAUCAGCUGGGAAAACUGUUUCUGGCUUUGAUGAAGAGACAAACACAUACCGCAUUCCUUCCUUAGCUCUAAAACUGGGACACUCUUUGAGCAAGAUAUGCAGCAUUGUCGAGAGUAAUGCCAUGAUCUAUGGUGAUCAUGAGCAAGCAGAGUAUGCGAGGAACUUUCGUAAAGUACACCAAGCAAGGUGGAAUGAGUACAUCUCUGCUGGUGCUUUAACCACACUGAAAGAAGCCAAGUGGAAUGCACCACAGAUCAUUCCAUUUACCCAGGAUGUCAAAGUCCUGUAAGCACAUCUUGUAAAGAAACACGAGGAAGUACUAAAUAAACUCCAAAACAGUCCCUCUGCACACAACUAUGCUGCUCUUGCCAAAGUCACACUGUCCCAAGUCAUCCUGUUCAAUAGACGAAGAGAAGGUGAGGUGCCACAAAUGCUUUUGUCAGCUUUUCAAAGCCGGGAUUCUCCUGAGCUACAUGAACACAUAGCCAUCUGUCUUUCUGAAUUUGAGAGGAAGUUGUGUAAGCACUUCACCAGAGUGGAGAUUCGUGGUAAACGGAGUAGAAAGGUUCCUGUGCUCCUAAAGCCUUCAUUGUUUUCUGCCAUGGAGCUGCUUGCUGAAACACGUGAGGUUUGUGGCGUGCCAGCUGAGAAUCCCUUCAUGUUUGCUAGAUCUGGAGCAAUGUCUGCCUACAGAGGAGGAGAGUGCAUAAGGAGAGCUGCAUUAAGAAUCCCGAAGCACUCUCAUCAACUAGGCUCAGGAAAAACAUCGAUGAGAAUGAAGCAGAUCAGCUGAUUUCCUCGGUCACGAUAUCAGAAUACACAGACAGUACUACCGGUUACCAGAGGGCACUUUGCAGCUCGCAAAGAUGAGCAAAGUCUUGAUGGCAAUGGAAAAAGGGACACUGUCAUAAUUUAAAGGAAAGCGGCUUGAUGACAUUGAAAUUGACCCUAAUGAGCAACUUGAGGCACAAGAUGAUGCCAUGUCCAGUGAUGAGGAGGAUGUAGAGGAAGAGAGCUGCAGUGACUUCCCUCAGACAACAACACCAGCGGACACUGAUCAACAAUCUGUUUCACUGAGACAUCAAGGUUCAUCAAUCCCUUCAAAAAGAAAAUGGGAGGACUCUUAGGUAAAAGCAGUUGAAAAACAUAUGAUGAAUUUCAUAAAGACCUGCAGAGUUCCUGGUAAGACUGUGAGAGAUGCAUUAAAGCAGUCAGAAGCCUUAAAGGAACGAACAUGGACUGGUGUGAAAAAUUAUGUGCGGAACAGGAUCACAACUUAAAAAAAAAGAGGUGGAUUUUAGAGGCUACAUUGCCUUUAACUGUAAAGUGAAGAUUAUGUUGAGGAAAAUGUUAAAAGCAUUAAUACCAUUUGUACCAUAUCAAACUUUAAUAACUUUGUAUGGCCCUGUUAUACCCCAUUUAAACACUUUCCACAUCAUGCUCAUAAUUUGCAAGAAAUUAGAUAAUAAUUAAGAGGUAUUAAGAGGAAGAAUUGGUUUGAGGAUGGAAUGAAGUGAACUAGACAGGAGAAGAGAGGGGAGUAAAUGUAACAUUGAAGUGAUGGAUUCUGAGAAAGGAUGAAGAGUCUAGAAAACACUUUUUAUUAUACCAACUUUUUAUUUUUAUUUUUUUUGUUCAGUUCAUUUUAGCAUGUUGCCUCUGCUAUUCCAGAUGUGCACUUUCACAAUGUGUGAAUAUUGUUUAUUUGAUCAGUAAUAGAGUUAGAUCACAUGGAUCAGCAGAAGUAAAGGGAUGAAAGAGGGAGGAGUGUAAGUAAAGGGGAAGAAAAGGAGCAGCCAAGGUAAAGCAAAAUAAAGAGGGAGGAGUGUAGGUAAAGAGGUGUGUUUGAGUUUAUCUAUAGUAGUCUUCUAGCUGUGUUUCUGAAUGCAGAUCAGUACAGUGAACACCAGAACACAAUAGAACACACUUGAUGGUUAUUGUUGAGUGAGAAUGAAGUGCUGUCAUGAAGGCCUGCACAGCUGGUUUGAGGACAGCAUAAGCGUCUGAUCUGAGUAGUUGAUCUGUUCUUGCUCUUGCUGUAGUUUGAUGGCACAUGUGAUCACAAGACGGCUGCAACUACAAUCAAAGUCAGUCCAAACAAAAUGAUCUAAAAGCGUUUGUUAGGAGGUACUCAGGGGUGUAAAGUAAACUAGGUAGGGCUGGGAUAAACGAUUAUUUUUCAAACGAUUAAUCUAGCCAUUAUUUUUUCGUUGCAUCAUUUAAUCUAACGAUUCAUUUUUUCAGACCAAUUCGAUUUCGAUUAUCUCCCCAUUAAUUGACCACUAACAAUUUAUACAUGUUGAUUUACAUAUCUGAAUGAAACAAACAUGAAUUCCUUAACAUUGCAAUAUAUGUUUA
Molecule: long non-coding RNA, 3356 nt
Organism: Carassius auratus (goldfish)
Lineage: Eukaryota; Metazoa; Chordata; Actinopteri; Cypriniformes; Cyprinidae
Exons: 5
Source: RefSeq, a predicted model, not a curated record